RNAcentral lists this ribosomal RNA (155 nucleotides) under uncultured fungus. Its description in RNAcentral is "5.8S ribosomal RNA". It matches the Rfam family "5.8S ribosomal RNA". Rfam says of the family: 5.8S ribosomal RNA (5.8S rRNA) is a component of the large subunit of the eukaryotic ribosome. It is transcribed by RNA polymerase I as part of the 45S precursor that also contains 18S and 28S rRNA. The record is from RNAcentral. Lineage: Eukaryota; Fungi.
AACUUUCAACAAAGGAUCUCUUGGCUCUUGCAUCGAUGAAGAACGUAGCGAAGCGCGAAAUGUAGUGUGAAUCGCAGAACAUUGUGAAUCAUCGAAUCUUUGAACGCACAUUGCGCCUCUCUUAACAGGGAGGCAUGCCUGUCUGAGUCUCAUUU